This 860-nucleotide ribosomal RNA is filed under the name uncultured Verrucomicrobiota bacterium. Its description in RNAcentral is "bacterial SSU rRNA". It matches the Rfam family "Bacterial small subunit ribosomal RNA", at positions 68 to 902 of the family's 1533-position model. The record is from RNAcentral. Lineage: Bacteria; Pseudomonadati; Verrucomicrobiota.
UAAUUUCGGGGUAGCAAUACUUCGGAGUUGGAGUGGCGAAAGGGUGCGUAACAUGUGGGUAAUCUGCCGUGAAGUUCGGGAUAACUUGCUGAAAGGCGAGCUAAUACCGGAUGUAAUCGCUGGGGGGUAUCUCUUGGUGAUUAAAGUUGGGGACCGCAAGGCCUGACGCUUCAUGAUGAGCCCGCAUCCUAUCAGCUAGUUGGUGAGGUAACGGCUCACCAAGGCUAAGACGGGUAGCUGGUCUGAGAGGACGACCAGCCACACUGGAACUGAGACACGGUCCAGACACCUACGGGUGGCAGCAGUCGAGAAUUUUUCACAAUGGGCGAAAGCCUGAUGGAGCGACGCCGCGUGGGGGAUGAAGGGCUUCGGUCCGUAAACCCCUGUCAUUUGCGAACAAACCUUUCCACCUAACACGUGGAGAGCUGAUUGUAGCGAAAGAGGAAGGGACGGCUAACUCUGUGCCAGCAGCCGCGGUAAUACAGAGGUCCCAAGCGUUGUUCGGAUUUACUGGGCGUAAAGGGUGCGUAGGUGGCGAGGUAAGUUUGAUGUGAAAUCUCCGAGCUCAACUCGGAAAUGGCAUUGAAUACUAUUCCGCUUGAGGGUCGGAGGGAAGACUGGAAUUCUCGGUGUAGCAGUGAAAUGCGUAGAUAUCGAGAGGAACACCAGUGGCGAAGGCGAGUCUCUGGACGACUCCUGACACUGAGGCACGAAAGCUGGGGGAGCAAACAGGAUUAGAUACCCUGGUAGUCCUAGCUGUAAACGGUGCACGUUUGCUGUAAGAGGAAUCGACCCCUUUUGUGGCGAAGCUAACGCGUUAAACGUGCCGCCUGGGGAGUACGGUCGCAAGAUUAAAACUC